AGCUUGUCUAGCUGAAUUUUAGAGUUGUUCCUUUUCAGGUAUGCUACUAGGUUUCAUUCCUAAGUUGGGCAGGAUGCACCGUUGUCCGAGGUUUCUGCCUAUGAUUUCUCAUACAGUUUACUCUUUUUAUUUUCAGGGUUGUCUUGGUGGAACAUUUGAGCCUGUAGCCUUCAGCGAUCUCUGGAAGAAGAUGGGGCGUAACGGCGUCAAGAAGAGCAUAUGGGAGCUCCUCUGCGGCUGUUCCUCUCCUCGAACCAACAAAUGAUUAAGACCGAAAUGCGAGAGGUUAAGUGUGUUAUGAUUCCUAAUAGGUGAAAUUCUUCCAAAUAGGUCUCUAUAAAGUUGCUUUAUGUUAAAUUUAAAAAGUGUAUGUGAUUACAUAUUGUUAAGUUCUUUGGUUAAAUUGGUUUCUAGUGUUGGGGUUGUGUUGGGCUAGCUUCUUCUGCAGCAAGGAGCAUGUAAAAGUGUGUCAUGUGUAACAAUAUUCG
Molecule: long non-coding RNA, 488 nt
Filed under: Triticum aestivum (bread wheat)
Lineage: Eukaryota; Viridiplantae; Streptophyta; Magnoliopsida; Poales; Poaceae
Description: long non-coding RNA (TAES_LNC012433)
Source: RNAcentral